Molecule: long non-coding RNA, 916 nt
Organism: Numida meleagris (helmeted guineafowl)
Lineage: Eukaryota; Metazoa; Chordata; Aves; Galliformes; Numididae
Exons: 3
Source: RefSeq, a predicted model, not a curated record
AUAUUAAAGAAAAAGGGGAAGAUAAAAAGCCACACACACACUUCAGUUUGUUUGUAGGCUGCUCUUUAACAGAAGGCCAAGAAGAGAAUCACAUUUUCACCGUGGGAAGAGACUUUUGCUGCAGGGUUUUCCUUGGGAACUCCCAAUGAUUUCUGUUUCCCAGGACUCACGAUUACAGGAUGCAAUUUACAUGAAUACUUUCUGAAAUAUGGUUUAGGCAAAACAGUUAAGCAGAUGAUCAUGGCCUACAGAAAAGGAUUCCAGACGUGUUACUAGCCCUGUGCUGAAUCUCAUGUCUGUGCUCUGAUGUACACCUCUAACAGAGGCUCUACACCUAGACAAAGCUCCUGAAAACAACCACAAAAAGCUCACAGAUCUAAAUGGGAAUUGAGCUCUUCUUGUUCUGCAAUGGUUAGAUGUCAUACUGAGGGACUUGGUUUAGUGGGAAAUAUUGGUGAUAUGUGGAUGGUUGGACAGGAUGAUCUUGGAGGUCUCUUCCAACCUUGGUGAUUCUGUGAUUCUACAUGCUUACAAGAGAGCUCAGAGUCCUAAGUUGUAUCCUUGCUUUUGAAAGACUUGCUUUAAAGAGGAGAAAGGCUGAUCCCAACAUCUGUGUGACACUACAAUCAAGUACCUACAUCAAAGGACAAACAAGGAUUCUAUUCUUCCUGCAUAGCUAAGGGAGAUGGUAAGAGCGAGAGGCACUAUUCAUGGUUCCUAACUUUAUGGAUAUUGUACGGUGUUAUUUUGGCACAUCAACCAACGCUGAGCAAUCUCCACAGGAUGCAAUGGAAAAUAACAGUCAAGACUGGAAGGGUGAUGGAGAAGUCAGAUUUCAGAUUCUAUCAGCACUGUGAAAUAGGUGCACUCCAACUAGACAGACCUGUGAUUGGAGCCUGUGGUCUGCUCCAGCUAA